This 440-nucleotide ribosomal RNA is filed under the name uncultured bacterium. RNAcentral's name for it is "bacterial SSU rRNA". It matches the Rfam family "Bacterial small subunit ribosomal RNA", at positions 958 to 1398 of the family's 1533-position model. The record is from RNAcentral.
AACGCGAAGAACCUUACCUGGGUUUGACAUCCCCUGACCGAUACAGAGAUGUAUUUUUGUAGCAAUACAACAGGGAGACAGGUGCUGCAUGGCUGUCGUCAGCUCGUGUGGUGACAUGUUGGGUUAAGUCCCGCAACGAGCGCAACCCUUGUCCUUAGUUGCCAGCAUUCAGUUGGGCUCUCUAAGGAGACUGCCGUGGUUAACACGGAGGAAGGUGGGGAUGACGUCAAGUCCUCAUGGCCUUUAUAUCCAGGGCGACACACGUGAUACAAUGGACGGUACAGAGGGAAGCGAAACCGCGAGGUGGAGCCAAUCUCAAAAAGCCGUUCUCAGUUCGGAUUGGAGUCUGCAACUCGACUCCAUGAAGUUGGAAUCGCUAGUAAUCGCGGAUCAGCACGCCGCGGUGAAUACGUUCCCGGGCCUUGUACACACCGCUCGUC